GAGAGGGGAGCGAGUGUAGGGAAGGAGAGACAGAGCGAGCAGGCUCGUGGUGGUACCGGCGGAGUGGCAUUUAGCCCACCGGUUGCUGAGGGAAAGCAACAAGGCUCGACUGGUGCUUCUAGUGGCGACUAAUGAAGCAGCUAGGGCUCGUUGUUUAGCUCGCCUCGGUGGAGCAUGCAAGCAGUAGCUCGAGCAGGAGUGGCGCAUGUAACGGCCGGCGGUAGCAGCUAACUCAGUAGAAGCCAGGUGGAGGCUGGAGGGGCAGCGGAGGCAACCUUGGCACUGUGGCUCUGGCUACGGCGACGAUGGGUCAUGCUGAUGCCACAACUGCUGGGGAGAGAGAACGGUCUCGUUGGUCUGCAACCUCAGAUCCUCGUUCUGCGGUGGCAACUGCUGCUAAGGAUGAUGUGAUCUCCACGGAUGAUGAUGCACGUCCGGCGACUGCUACUGGUCCUCAUCAAAUCCUCCUAGGGUCCGUCCUCCGUACGCGGAGAAAGCUAAACAUAGGGUCAAACACGAUCGGAAAGAAUUCCGUUUGAACAAAUUGAAUACAGACAUGAGUCUAUAACAACGAAAGCGACUGAGCAGAUACUAGCUCGAGAACAUAAGCUCGGGAACUCCGGGGACCGAACAUUAUACUACUAACAUACUGAAUAAAAUAAA
Molecule: ribosomal RNA, 663 nt
Filed under: Triticum aestivum (bread wheat)
Lineage: Eukaryota; Viridiplantae; Streptophyta; Magnoliopsida; Poales; Poaceae
Description: partial small subunit ribosomal RNA
Source: RNAcentral